CUGGGGAAUGAGGAUCUUUUGGCUCUUACGAGGAUCCCUAGUAAGCGCAAGUCAUCAGCUUGCGUUGAUUACGUCCCUGCACUUUGUACACACCGCCCGUCGCUACUACCGAUUGAAUGGCUCAGUGAGGCUUCCGGACUGGCCCAGGGAGGUCGGCAACGACCACCCAGGGCCGGAAAGUUAUCCAAACUCGGUCAUUUAGAGGAAGUAAAAGUCGUAACAAGGUCUCCGUUGGUGAACCAGCGGAGGGAUCAUUAUAGAGUUUUCUAAACUCCCAACCCAUGUGAACUUACCUUUUGUUGCCUCGGCAGAAGUUAUAGGUCUUCUUAUAGCUGCUGCCGGUGGACCAUUAAACUCUUGUUAUUUUAUGUAAUCUGAGCGUCUUAUUUUAAUAAGUCAAAACUUUCAACAACGGAUCUCUUGGUUCUGGCAUCGAUGAAGAACGCAGCGAAAUGCGAUAAGUAAUGUGAAUUGCAGAAUUCAGUGAAUCAUCGAAUCUUUGAACGCACAUUGCGCCCAUUAGUAUUCUAGUGGGCAUGCCUGUUCGAGCGUCAUUUCAACCCUUAAGCCUAGCUUAGUGUUGGGAAUCUACUUCUCUUAGGAGUUGUAGUUCCUGAAAUACAACGGCGGAUUUGUAGUAUCCUCUGAGCGUAGUAAUUUUUUUCUCGCUUUUGUUAGGUGCUAUAACUCCCAGCCGCUAAACCCCCAAUUUUUUUGUGGUUGACCUCGGAUCAGGUAGGAAUACCCGCUGAACUUAAGCAUAUCAAUAAGCGGAGGAAAAGAAACCAACAGGGAUUGCCUUAGUAACGGCGAGUGAAGCGGCACAGCUCAAAUUUGAAAUCUGGCCUUGGGUCCGAUUGUAAUUUGUAGAGGAUGAUUUUGGUGCGUAUCUUCCGAGUCCUUGGAACAGGACGCCUUAGAGGGUGAGAGCCCCGUACGGUUGAUGCCUAGCUCUGUAUAUCUCCUUCACAAGUCAAGUAGUUAGGAAUGCUGCUCAAAUGGAGGUAAUUUCUCUAAGCUAAUAAUGGUCAGAAAACGAUAGCGACAAGUAGAGGGAUCGAAAGAUGAAAGCACUUUCAAAAGAGGGGUCAAAUGCCGGAAAUGGUAAAAGGGAAGAAUUUGACUGAACUUUUUCUGGGCGAUCUAUCCGGUUUCUCUCCGGGUGACUUCCUCAG
Molecule: non-coding RNA, 1175 nt
Filed under: Pestalotiopsis mangiferae
Lineage: Eukaryota; Fungi; Ascomycota; Sordariomycetes; Amphisphaeriales; Sporocadaceae
Also listed under: 1 other name
Description: eukaryotic LSU rRNA
Rfam family: Eukaryotic large subunit ribosomal RNA (bases 722-1175)
Source: RNAcentral